This 30-nucleotide non-coding RNA is filed under the name Homo sapiens (human). The record is from RNAcentral. Lineage: Eukaryota; Metazoa; Chordata; Mammalia; Primates; Hominidae.
UCCUCACUGAGAAGCUAAUAGGCUGCGUGC